This is a long non-coding RNA of Rattus rattus (black rat), 809 nucleotides long. RefSeq lists it as uncharacterized. The transcript has 3 exons. The record is from RefSeq and is a predicted model, not a curated record. NCBI's taxonomy places the organism in Eukaryota, Metazoa, Chordata, Mammalia, Rodentia, Muridae.
GUCAGCUGGUGUCGCAGGAGCCAGGCAACGAGUCAUCAGCCACUGGAACACCUGAGGGUAACCUUUCCUCACAGCCCCGUUCUCCAGCCAGCCCAACCAUAAACUUGAACCUGGCGGGCCAUCACCUUCCCUACAUGAAGAUCAGCACAGCUCCCUAGGAGAUCUUCCUCUCUUGGGGGCUAUCUCCUUCCUUCUCUAGAGAGGUUACUAAAAUGCUCCAGCAGGGGUAUGGACCAUGAUGACACUACUUAUGUUGCCUCUGAAACCUCCCAAUGCCAAGCUGCAGAGCAACCAGCUAUGGGAGUAAGCUCUAUUAGGAGGGGCGGGCCAGAAAUAAGAGGUGGAGUCAGCCACCAAGCAAACUCGCAGGUUUAGCUGUGGACCUCUCUAUGGAACUUCCUAUCUUGAGGUGGGGAGAUUAGCUAGUUCUACCCCCAAACCAAUCUGCAAUCGGAUGACAGUCGUCCUAGUUGAUGGAAGAACCCACAAGACUCAUCUGGAUCAACUGGGCACUUCUGAUCAAGGACAAUUGUCGGAGGUGGCCGUUUUAGAUGGAAAGAAAACACUGUGGGGCAGAAGAACUGAAUGGAGCCAAGUGGAAUCUAGUAGAGCUCCAACGGGGUAUCUACACUGGGACAGAGGACCCACCUAGCAUGGCCUCUUUCCUUUCACUCUCACUUGGACCCCUCUAGAAUCUGAAUUUCUGCCGCUCUCCUGUUGGCCCAAUAUGCAGCUAUCAUCAAUUCCUGUGUAAAAGGGAACCACUCACUUCUUCGUGUUUCCACUUCAUGAAAAGCUGGACCAUCUAU